AUUCAAUUGACGAGUCCAAAAUAGGACGAAAUACAUGUCCUGGAU
Molecule: non-coding RNA, 45 nt
Organism: Schistosoma curassoni
Lineage: Eukaryota; Metazoa; Platyhelminthes; Trematoda; Strigeidida; Schistosomatidae
Source: Rfam